This 602-nucleotide ribosomal RNA is filed under the name Staphylococcus aureus. RNAcentral describes it as "partial 23S ribosomal RNA". It matches the Rfam family "Bacterial large subunit ribosomal RNA", at positions 2323 to 2925 of the family's 2925-position model. The record is from RNAcentral. Lineage: Bacteria; Bacillati; Bacillota; Bacilli; Caryophanales; Staphylococcaceae.
CAGAAUGGUUGGAAAUCAUUCAUAGAGUGUAAAGGCAUAAGGGAGCUUGACUGCGAGACCUACAAGUCGAGCAGGGUCGAAAGACGGACUUAGUGAUCCGGUGGUUCCGCAUGGAAGGGCCAUCGCUCAACGGAUAAAAGCUACCCCGGGGAUAACAGGCUUAUCUCCCCCAAGAGUUCACAUCGACGGGGAGGUUUGGCACCUCGAUGUCGGCUCAUCGCAUCCUGGGGCUGUAGUCGGUCCCAAGGGUUGGGCUGUUCGCCCAUUAAAGCGGUACGCGAGCUGGGUUCAGAACGUCGUGAGACAGUUCGGUCCCUAUCCGUCGUGGGCGUAGGAAAUUUGAGAGGAGCUGUCCUUAGUACGAGAGGACCGGGAUGGACAUACCUCUGGUGUACCAGUUGUCGUGCCAACGGCAUAGCUGGGUAGCUAUGUGUGGACGGGAUAAGUGCUGAAAGCAUCUAAGCAUGAAGCCCCCCUCAAGAUGAGAUUUCCCAACUUCGGUUAUAAGAUCCCUCAAAGAUGAUGAGGUUAAUAGGUUCGAGGUGGAAGCAUGGUGACAUGUGGAGCUGACGAAUACUAAUCGAUCGAAGACUUAAUCAAAA